Molecule: ribosomal RNA, 307 nt
Filed under: Peronia peronii
Lineage: Eukaryota; Metazoa; Mollusca; Gastropoda; Systellommatophora; Onchidiidae
Description: partial large subunit ribosomal RNA
Source: RNAcentral
GGAGUCGAGAAUGAAUGGGUUUUCGGGGGUUAACUGUCUCUUUUGGAUUUAGUUGAAAUUUCUAAAAAGGUGCAAAAUCCUUUAAUUCGAAAAAAGACGAGAAGACCCUUAGAGUUUUUAUUAUAAAAAGAUUAAUUCUUUUAUCGGUUUUUGCUGGGGCGGCAAAGAGACAAUAAACUCUCUUUUUACAGUUUUUAGAAGACGUGAAUCUAAAGAGACAAUAAACUACCUUAGGGAUAACAGCAUAAUUAAAUUUUAGUUUGUGACCUCGAUGUUGGACUAGGAAAAAUUUUUGGUUAACCGCCAA